Molecule: ribosomal RNA, 460 nt
Filed under: uncultured bacterium
Lineage: Bacteria
Description: partial 16S ribosomal RNA
Rfam family: Bacterial small subunit ribosomal RNA
Source: RNAcentral
CCUACGGGUGGCAGCAGUGAGGAAUAUUUGUCAAUGGGCGGGAGCCUGAACCAGCCAAGUCGCGUGAGGGAAGACGGUCCUAUGGAUUGUAAACCUCUUUAGGCGGGGAGCAAUGCCGGGCACGCGUGGCCGGAAGGAGAGUACCCGCAGAAUAAGCAUCGGCUAACUCCGUGCCAGCAGCCGCGGUAAUACGGAGGAUGCGAGCGUUAGCCGGAUUUAUUGGGUUUGAAGGGUGCGUAGGCGGAUUGUUAAGUCAGCGGUAAAAUGUCGGGGCUCAAACCCGGCCGGCCGUUGAAACUGGUGUUCUUGAGUGAGCGAGAAGUAUGCGGAAUGCGUGGUGUAGCGGUGAAAUGCAUAGAUAUCACGCAGAACUCCGAUUGCGAAGGCAGCUUACUAACCUGCCACUGACAUUGAUGCUCGAAAGUGUGGGUAUCAAACAGGAUUAGAUACCCUUGUAGUC